CGAAGAUUGAAUUCCCUCUCUUCCCGAUCCCUCGCUCCAUCGCACCACUCGGAAACCUGUGCGAACUUUUGUUACUGCACUCGCAAGCCUCACGAGCACCCCGACAUUUCCGGGAAGCAUGAGUUUUUUGUUUUUGUUUUUGUUUUUUUAAUGUAUUGGCUUUCCUUUUUCGUUUCUUUUAAAAAAACAGAUAUAUCAAAAAUAAAUCUUCCCCACUUCUCUCAUGUCAUAGUGUCUCUCGCGCAUCCUCUUUCAAUCGAAAAGCGUUUCCCCCAAUUUCUACUUCGUCACAUUGACAGGGAGUGUAAAAAGAUAAUAGUGUAGGAUGAAGGUGGAUCCCGUAACAGCAGCAGCACACUUCUGCUUUGCAGCUUUCGGAUCAUCUGUUGUUGCAUGGGGCUGAGCCCUACGAUUAGCCAGCCGUUGGUUGUCCUCCGACUUUAAAGACCCCCAAGCUGGCUUACGCAAAGUAUAGUAAUCCAGUUCACCUGCCGAGUCGAGGUCACACCACCUGGGAGGAAUGAGAACUUUUAUUUAAAAAGUGCCUGUGAACUGUCCAGGUGCCAAUAUUUCGACCCUCCCCCUCGUUUUUGGUUGUCGUCCUAUUCCUUACCGCGAGGGGGUUGUUGGCAGAUUCCAGUAGACUUCACCUGCACUGAGUAGAGAUGAAUUCUCUCUCACCUGCGCUUCUAAGAUUAGCAACACGCGUUGUUCGAGCCAGCCCUCCACUUUUCCCCCCUUAAAAACCGACGACGUGUCAUCCCUGUCUUCUUCAGGUUGCGAAGGACGACGGUGUCAUUCAUCCGGUACCAAAUUAUCACGCACAAUGUGACACUCGCAUCCUGGAAAACAACUAGCGACAUCCCACACCAGAGGAAUUUCCAGCAAUGAGCCAGCCUUUCAGACCACGCUCUUAUUGAUGUUGGUGUUGGUUCUGGAUUCUGCAGCUCUUUGUGGGUGGUGCGGCACCAGCUGUGGCUGAGGAGAGCCUCUUGUUCAUCACAGGCACCCCAAAACUUUUCGGAGUCAAGGUAUUCUGCUAGUAGAAAAGGACCUGCUUAUUAGUCACACGCCCCUUGUGGUGUUGCUGUGUGGUAUCUUAAGAGAUGUGAGCUGCGGGAAAUGAAGAAGGGUGGUUUGCAUGGGCUGCUUCUACAGAGGUGCAGCACCUCAUGAAUGGAAGAAAACAGGCCUGUGCAUCCUAAACAGUGCCGAAGCACACACAUACACACAAAAACACACAUGCACAACGUGUGAUAUUGCCACUGUGUCCACAGGCAAUAAUAAAAACAGCAACAACAAAAAUCAUAAUUGACAGAGAAAGAGACAUGGUGGGGGGUGGAGAAAAGCCCUGCCUUAGUGCUGACACCUCCACACACACACACACACACAAAUUGCUUUGUGGGUGCUAGAUCUGGCUUUUUGGUUUCUCUUUUUUAAAAUCAAAAUCAAAAUAAAUUCCAGAAGGUUUGCACCCGACUUGAGCAACCAUUCAGCCCA
Non-coding RNA from Physcomitrium patens, 1500 nucleotides. NCBI's taxonomy places the organism in Eukaryota, Viridiplantae, Streptophyta, Bryopsida, Funariales, Funariaceae. The record is from RefSeq and is a predicted model, not a curated record.